ACUAUUUUGACAGAAAAAUGUGUUGAUUUUAGAAAUCAUUUAUAUAUAAUUUAAUUAUAUAUAUAGUA
This 68-nucleotide transfer RNA is filed under the name Lycaena phlaeas (common copper). RNAcentral describes it as "tRNA-Leu". Lineage: Eukaryota; Metazoa; Arthropoda; Insecta; Lepidoptera; Lycaenidae. The record is from RNAcentral.